GGCCGCGGAUCUGCUUCUCCACAUCCUCCAGUUCCAGCCGCACCAUGUGAAGCUCGAGCGAGUCCUCAUCUGCACUCAAAACCGGAGAGACAGCAGACAUAUUUGUUUUUUUUGUUUGUUUUUUUUAAACAGAACAGCGAUUCCAUCAACUCAUCAAUUACCAACAAGUUUAUUUUAUUGGAAGGAAAUAGUUCGUCAUCACACAAAGAAAUCUACCUUGAAGAAAUUUUAUUUUUAUUCUGAUCAUCAAUUCAUCGUACAGAGGUUGCCAACACGUAUAACACCAGACAAUGUUUUCGGGAAAUACCGACAUUGCCUCUUUACAGUUUUCCAACAACAUUUUGAUAAAAUAAGAUUUUCCGCUAUUACUCGGUCCACAUACGAUACAUGAAAAGGGAAGUUGCAUCCUAGUGUCAAAAGCAGUCACAUUCAUAUUUUCCAUUAUAAAACACAUCAGCAGAAACAAUAUGCAUAUAUAUACAUGAAUAGUCUUAAUAACCAUAAGGGAGAGUUGUAAAAUCAGAUAAUAAAACACGCUUAUCGUACACAACCCUGAACCUUUUUAACUGCGAUUUGUUUCUCAAAUGAAACCCCUUUUUGUCUCUUACGAUUUGGUUAUGCGUGGUUACGAGUUGACUGGUUUGAUCUGGAUUUUUCACUCGCUCGUCCACCAGAUCUGUCAGUGAUUUCAAAUGGACAAUUUCAGAAUUGAUACAAUUUAAAUUAAUGCCUUUAGUUUUCAUAGUUGUUUUUCCUUUUACGGUUUUGUAACGGUAGGUUUUAGGGCCUGUACUUACAAAUUCUAUGAUUUGAUCGCCAUCAUCUAGUUCGCUGGUAAGACCACCCAAGUAAUCGCUUAAGGGUGGCAUGCAGUCACCUUCCUUACUUUUAAAAAUUAUUCUGACGGUGUCUGUGUACAAACAACGCUGAUCUAAUCGAUACAAUAAAUUGUACAGUUCAUGUCUAGCGUACGCUGUAGUGAAAAUGCCGAUGAAUACAUUAGAAUUCAGCGGUUUAAUCAGUCUCUCAUCUGCAUACUGCCACUGCACCAUCGCCACGUUCUCAUUCAAAAAAGAGAACUAACACAUUAUAAAUAUCGGAGAACAUGAACUGUAAAAACACGGUCGCGGAAUAAGAUUGUGUUUGAUUUGUCUGGUCUUUGACACAUCUUACCCCACAACGAAUUUAGCGCGAGUUUAGCCACGGAUCUUUUGGUAGGAUUAACGGUAAUACAGUGCGGAUCCAACGUGAUCCCUUUGUUCUCCUUAUAUUUGUGAAUGUACUCACGUUUAGAGGAUUCAUCAACGGCCCAGAAUGGAUAUCCUGAACUUUCCUGUUUGGUCUUGAGGAACAUUUUAAUAUAUUUCAUAAAAUGCUCAUCAGACCUUUUACGAAAGUGCCACACUUCAAACCCUUUUAGAAUUUUGUAACCUUUUUCGACAGCUUUCUCAAUUUCGACAGGAGCCCAUGUUCCGGUAAGAGCGCUCUCCUGAUCUGUAUGGUCAGAUUGUUUUUGCUGAUAUUCGGUGCAUGUUCUACAUAGAGGAAAGAGAGUUUGCUUUUUACAAGAAAUGGGUGAACAGGUUCCCACAGACCCCUAGGUGGUAAUAGUUUUGCUCUGACGAUACCGAUUUCGGUGGUUUAAAGUCACGAUAAAUGAUGAUAAGGUGAUCAAUCGGGUACGUCUUUGUCUUAUUUACAAAUGGGUAAAGAGAGGUAAAAUCUAAAUAUUCAAUUCUCUCACCAGGCUGAACUACAUAAUGUAAAUGUAACACAUUUGUUUGACCGCCAUAAAGAUCAUCUCGUGGGUUUAAACGCUCAGGAAAGUCAAAGUCUUUUAGAAACAUGCGGUUGUCAUUUUUCUUCAUUUCAUUCCACUCAUGUUCCCACAUCAGUGUGACUUGCAAAUUGUGAGUGUCUGGCAAAUUCUUCAUUUUCUCCAUUGAUUUUUGACAGACAUCUCCAAAGGUAGCUUUGGAUGAGCUAAGAGGAUGCGGAUUCAUUGAGGGAAAAACACUUUUCACACCUGUGAUAAAAACAUCCAAGAAACUCAAAAGCCUUACAUUUUUGUCCAUCUUCACAGUAACCAUCUACGUCAUAGUUAGCAAACUGCUGGCCCAAAUUUAGCCUAUUACCCAAAAACAUUUAAAAUUCAACAUAGAAGCAAAUACUCACAUCUGUAAACCCAGUUGGAGAUAGAAAAAAGACACCAGCCGUGAGUGAGAAGAAGCAAGGGUCCAGAUUUAUUGGUUCCAUUUCACCACACGAGAUCCACACCGAUGAGAAUUCUCAAAAGUGAUCUGACACCUGGAGCUCAAGCUCCAGUAUUUAUAGUGUAUUUACACAGUAGAUAACCCAUAUACUUCAGAAAGACUAUGAUAUCAAUACCAAUAGGGUUAAAAAAGAGCUCAUCUACAUUACCAUUAUGUUUUGAAAGGGGCUUAUCAAAUUUACCAUUAUGUUUUGAAAGAGGACUUUCUGACUACCAUUAGGAUCGAAAGUGGGAGAGAGACAAAACAAUUUAGAGAGACCUUGGUCUCACUUUUAUCUCGCAGGGGCAGCUUGAAUCAGUUACCCUUAUAAAUGGCUCCUCAUGGUUUUCUCUUAAAAUUAAGGCCUUCCUUGCGAGACAAGAAUCUUCACCAUCUGAGUUAUGAGUAAGUUUCUUUUACAUUUUUCUGUGUUUCUGGUUUAUAAUUUACUUUCAUAUUUGCUCUAUAUCUCUAUUUUAUAUAUAGUUAUACUGCUUGCAAAUGGUUUACUGUACUUCCUACUUCAUAAUAGCAUUAUAUUACCCUUCUAAUAUCCUACAUAUCCUGCUACUCUUCAUAUUACCCUUAUAAUAUCUUACUACUCCUUUUUAUUAUUCUUAUAAAGUUAUAAUGUUAUGUGUGUGUGUGUGUGUGUGUGUGUGUGUGUGAGAGAGAGAGAGAGAGAGAGACAGAGACAGAGAGUGUGUGUGUGUUUGCACUCCUCAGCUCAUACUUCUCUGUGAAAACCAUAGUGUGUUACUCUUAAAAGAUCUUAAAGUGUGAAUCCAAUUCGUCAAUAUCCACCUAAUACCGCUUCUGUGUGUCUAGGUGCCCGUCGUCAUUUUUCCUACUCUCCUCACCUGUCAGUCCGCCGUACUCUCAGUGUUCUCCUUAUUUCACCCUUGCUGACUAUCCCAUGUCCCCAGGACGCACCCCAUUUUCUUCCCCCUACCGCUCUCCUCAAGAUUAUGCACCCACCAGUCCUGUGAAUUUUCAAUAAAAUUACAUAUUACUCAUACUAGGUCUCCCUCAUGUUUAUUUCAUGUCAUUUUUAUCCACAACAAAACCUGACUUCACUUUCGUUCAACGCAUGGCGAAUGGGUAGGUUUUGCGUGUUAGAAACGUAUUUGAGCCAUUGUAUGGAAGGUGUUGUGAAAGAUUUCUGUCUGGUGAUGUAAUUAUCAAGCGAUGUAAUAGCUAAAGUGUCUUUACACAGGAACUUGGUUCUAAAGAUUUUCAUGCAUACAGAUGUGAUUGUUAUGCAUUUAAAAGCAUCGACCUUUGUACUUUUCAGAAUUUCAUCUCUGAAAGCUAAACAGCCCUUUCUCAAAAUGGCUACGUCCUUCACACAGUAUUCGGCCAUCUCUUUCUUGAAAUCAAAGACUUUUCAGAAACCGUGCUGUACUAAUUAACGAAUUCUUCUCUAUCCUUAGGCAUCAUGCCAUCUACACUGUAAAACUUAGGGUCAGGAUACGGUCCUACGUAAUCCUGAUGUUCUAUGGUGUUCCAGAAAUGGGGAAAAUAGCCUUUCUUGCAUUCUGAAAACCCCAUGGCUUUCAGGAUGCUGCUCAACUUCAUGGGUAAGAAUGAUAGGCUAUCAAUGUAGGACUGGCAAAACGCUGCAUCAGUGAAACACAAAAUUGUACCGCCUUGCGCUAUGAUUUUGGGCGUGAUUCCUUCUUUCUCUAAAUAGUUUAACAAAAGGUAUGAAUCGAACCCUCUUGCAUUAUGCACGAUAAACGUAUAACCUUGUAUGUGUUACAACGAAACUUCUAAAGAAGGCACUGACGCAAUCAUCCCCUUCAGCCACCCACUCCUCUCCCUUAAAAUCAAUACAGCAUAAGAAAUUAGCCACACGAAUUUAUGGAGAUACUAGAGAUCCAGAUCCUUUCUGCCUCUGGAUGGAGCUCAAAUCUUCUUUAAUUCCAGACUGCUGGGGCUACGGCUGCUCCUAACGCCAUACAGACUUCAUAUGAAUCCAUAAUGAACUUUUUCACACUAUCUGUUGUUACCCAGAUGAGGAUGGGUUCCCUUCUGAGUCAGGUUCCUCUCAAGGUUUCUUCCUCUUAAAACAUCUUGGGGAGUUUUUCCUUGCCACCGUCGCCACUCAGUGGCUUGCUCAGUUGGGAUAAAUUUGCGCCUUUGAUAUCUGUAUACCGUGUUGAUAUUUCUGUAAAGCUGCUUUGAGUCAAUGUCUAUCGUAAAAAGCACUAUACAAAUAAAAUUGAAUUGAAUUGAAAUUAGCUACAUGAGUUCCUGUUUCCUGUCUAGUCUCGAAAUCAUAAAACACAUCAUUCUCAUUGGCGUGUUCUUUCCUAGUCGGCUGUGUAAAGUAUCUAUGCUCAAUAUCCUUAUCGAGUUUUUGGCCACGGAGUAUGUAUUUGGAAUCGGUGCGCAUGUGUUCCUUACGUUUAAAAGUAUAUAGUUUUUUCAUGGGGAGUUUUGCUAGUUUGAAAAAAAGAGUAUCCGGCUUUGCUGGCGAAACAGUGUACGAUUACGAUUUUACAAUUCAAAUGUCUCUUAAAUUUCGAUACAUCAGCAAAGGUGACUGCGGUGUUUACAGAUAAUUCCACAUCAUAUUGUAAUUGUCUAGCAUUUGUUUUUCACGAUUCAAAAGUUGGGUAACACACAAGGCAAAACACAUGUCUCUGUUGUGAAAAAUGUAUAGAUUCUUCAUUUUCUUCUGUAUGGUUUCUGAUUUGAAUAUAUGGCCUAUUUUCCUUCUAAUUGCACCACCCUAAGGUGGUCGGACGAUUUGGAGGACUAUUUCAAGGGUAUUAUCCUUAAAAAUUUCACGUUUACUCUGAACUGCAUUUUCGAGCAUGGUCAGAAAAGAAUGUAAAUCGAUGACACCGUUGACUAAUUGAAUGCAUGAUGAAACAUUUAUCGUAUCACCCCUGAUUUCAACGGUGAUGACAUCCUCAGCAGAAAUUAAAUUGUUAGCGAUUUCAAUCACACUUAAAAGAAUCAAUGUAUAACAUUUUUGACAUGCGUUUUUCUGGAUUUUCUUGUUGUUAUUCUGUCUCUCACUGUUCAGAUAAAUCUACCAUUAAAAUUAUAGAAUGAUCAUUUCUUUGUCAGUGGGCAAACGUACAAAAUCAGCAGGGGAUCAAAUACUUUUUUCCCUCACUGUAAGUGUAUUGAAGAUUAAAUUUUAGAUAUAGUCCCGUACCAAAUUACAUAAUGACCAGAUAAGGAUAAUGAUAUACUCAGAAAGGUUAGGGUUAGGGUUAUAUCAAUAUCAGUUUCAAUUGGAUAAUUACAUAAACAUUCUACUUCAAUUUAUAAUUAGCUAUUUUAAUUGUUUAAAAUACAUCUUCUUACCUGCUGAGAAAUACAUGGUGUCUGGAAGUUUUGAAGGAUAGAGUCUGGAAAUUCUUUCGAACCUUUGCUGAUUUUCCAAACUCUCCGGAGUGUUAGCCUUUUAUAGACAGGGUCGUGUGUGUGUGUGUGUGUGUGUGUGUGUGUGGGUGGGGGUGUGUGGGGGGGUGUGUGGGUGUGGGAAUGCACCAGAAGCAGAUUUAAAGUUUACUACUGAUAAUAAUCAAUUAGCUAUGACCUAAAUAUUUAAACAGAUGUGAGGGAACACAACAGAUUACAACAAACCUAACACAUGUAACAUUAUAUAUCUUUAACUACGCCUGUCAAGAUCUGUGAUUAAUCUAUGGGAAUGAACAUGUAACAUUAUACAUCUUUAAGUACACCUGUUAAGAAAAGGACGGUUGUUGAUAACCUUAUCCUAUACCUGUUAAGAUAAUGAUGGUUGGUGAUGACCUUUGACCUACACCUGUCAAAAUAAGGUUACAAAUCAUACAAACCACUCCUCUCUUUCUCGCUAACUUUUACACAUUUAGCGCUUCACAUUUUAACAGUGGGAAAAAGAGCAGUCUAUUUGAAUUGUGAAUGUGAAAUAAAAUCUCUCAAUGUGUUCAACUUAACUAUCAUUAAAUACUUACAUACUAACAGGUUAAUAAGGGCGCAUGGUGGCUUAGUGGUUAGCAUGUUUGCCUCACACCUCCAGGGUCUGGGGUUCAAUUUCCGCUGGGGCCGUGUGUGCGGAGUUUGCAUGUUCUCCCCGUGCUGUGGGGGGUACCCUCCAGGUACUCCGGUUUCCUCCCCCCAGUCCAAAGACAUGCAUGGUAGGCUGAUUGGCGUGUCUAAAGUGUCUGUAGUGUAUGAAUGGGUGUGUCAUUGUGCCCUGUGUUUCUGUCAAAAACGUCACUUUCAGUUUUAUUAUUUUUUACUAUUCUAAACAGUAAAAAGGGUGAAAAAAUUUUAAUAGAAAAAACAUUAAACAGACCUACAAUGAAGUGUGAAAUCUAAUCCUGCAUAAAUAACACUGAUGGGGAUUAUAACUGGAAAGUGAUUUAAAACACUGUUUGUGUGCUUUUCUCUACUGCACUGCGGUUGUGAGAGUGUGCUGCUUGAGAUUUCAGAUUAAUAGUUUGCUAACCAGUAAUGCUGCAGCAAUAUUUAGCUGAGGACCUGCAGAUUAUAAACUGCUACUCAGUGGACCAGAUUGUCUAAGUUCGAUAAAGAGGUGGGAUGUGUGUCUGCAUUCACAGGAGACAAGAGAAAGGUUAAAAGUAAUUGGCUUUACUGAUAUAAAAGAACAAACAUCAUAUAAUGAUACACUCAUGUGCAUGAAAUGGCUCAAGUUUCCCUUUUUGUUCUGCUCGGGUCACUUUUAAGCUUUACUUACUUUCAGUUAGACUAUUAUAUAAAUUAUGAAAUUGGACUCACCCCUUUGUGCCCCAUAGGUCUGCAUUGGCUGACGUCACCAAACUUUGUACUAGGAGGAGGUCCACAAGAGCAGAGUGUGCCAUUUGGGACAGAGUGGAAAUUGAAUACAGCUGAAAGCUUCACGUCAUAAUUGAUGACAUCAUUGCAGGAAACCAACACAAUGGCGGUUGACAUCACUGGGUUGUGACUGAAGUCAUGAUGGACUGAAAUGGCACAGAGGCCAGAAGUGACUCAAAUAUAGAGGAAGACAUAGAUGGUGGGGAAAAUGGAAGAAACUAAAAUAGCAAGUGGACUUUAGUUGAAAAGUGCAAAAGAAGGAAAGAUUGGCGUCCAGCAUCAGGUAGAGAAAGUGAGAAAGAUGAUAUCCAGUCUAUAAGAAGGAAAGAGUAUUAUAAGGUAUUGGUGAAGUAUAUGUCAGAAGGAGUAAAUAAUGUGAAUCCUUUAAAAUUGACCAAAAAAAUGGAAAGAAACGAUUGGAAACAUUGAAAGUGCUAAGAUGUUGCAAAAUGGUCAAAUUAUCCUAUUCUGUAAAUAUAACAACAACAAAAGGCAGCUUUAAGGGAUAAAGACCUUAUUAGGACAAAAUUAACAUGUAAGGUUAGGGGAGAAAAGAAAUGGAUGAGAGGAGAAAUCACAGGAAUACCUACUAAUGUUUCUGCUGAUUCAAUUAAGAAAAGCUUGUCAGGAGCAAACGUGAUGGAUGCAAACAAACAAAUAUACUUGAAACAAGGAGAAGAUGGGUAGCCUAUCAGUGAUGUUACAUUUUGAUGAGCAAAAAUUGCCAGAUUUUUAGGAGUUAUUAGUUGCACAGUUCGACCAUAUAUCCCACUCCCACUGAGAUGUUUGAAGUGCCAGAAGUAUGGUCAUGUGGCAACAGAAUGUAGAGGAAAACAGAGAUGUGCAAGGUGGGGGGAUGGGGACCAUGAAUAUGGAAAGAGUGAGGAAGGUACCAAGCCAAAAUGCUGCAACUGUGGGGGAGAAUAUAGCAUGGGAUACAGAGGAUGUCCAGUAAGGAAAAAUGCUGCUAAGGUACAAAUUGUUAAGAUAACAGAAGGAUUGACCUAUGCCGAAGCAAUAAAAGGAUUUCAUGUGACAGAAAGAAGUAGAGAAGAUAGAUUCAGUCUCGAGGAUGAGAAACAAAUGUCUGAACCAAGAAGAGGUAAAUUAAAAUAAUAUUAUGGCGGAUAAGUUGGCUUUCAUUACUUUUAUUGCGGAACUGAACUGCUCGGCCUAAAGUGUGUAGAACAGAAAAAAUAAAAAUAAUCAUACGAGCAGAAGAUAAGUAUUUGAAGGUAGAUGGAAUAACAGUUGAUCAGAUAAAUGAAAAACUAAAAAUGCAAGUUACUAAUACCCAGACUGCAUGUGGAGGCUCAUAAUGGUGAGGAUAAUCUUGCACUGGAAUAGAAGAAGCUUAAUAUUAAAUGGGCAAGAAUUUAAAAUAUAUAGAUAAUUUCAAGACUAAACCUCAUAUAAUAUGUGUACAAGAAUUUUGGUUAAAAUCAUAUUUAAACUUUGUGGUUCAAGGAUAUUCGGCAGUGCGCAAAGAUAGGAUUAAAGGAAAUGAAGGGGAGUAGUAACUUUUAUUAAACAAUGAGUAACAUACUGGGAGGUGGGUGUGAAUGAGGAAUUUGAAUUGGUAGUGGUUGAAGUAUGAGCUGGAAAUCAGAGUAUAAUGGUACAUUUUUUUAUAAUCUGUGUAAAAGAUUAAAUAAGGACUUAAUUAAAAACAUUGGAGGAGAAGGAAACUUUACAUUAGUGUGGACUUUAAUGCGCACAGUACAUUGUGGGGAAGUGAAUAUAGUUAUCAAAAUGGGAAUACUGUAAAACAAAUGUUAGAUUGUAAUGAUCUGGUGUGUCUUAAUGAUGGAAGUAAGCUCUGCUUCAGCAACAUGAGUGUUUUGGAAAACACAGAAGCACGUGGCUAUGAGGCGGGGCGGCAGAAACACACAGCUGACAACCAAUGAGGGGAGCGACCUCAUGCCCUCAAUUUCCUUUUCCUAUAUGUACUAAAAUAAAAGCAUUUCCUGUUUUACCUGUA
This is a long non-coding RNA of Ictalurus punctatus (channel catfish), 9033 nucleotides long. RefSeq lists it as uncharacterized. Lineage: Eukaryota; Metazoa; Chordata; Actinopteri; Siluriformes; Ictaluridae. The transcript has 2 exons. The record is from RefSeq and is a predicted model, not a curated record.